This 73-nucleotide transfer RNA is filed under the name Cyanobacterium sp. T60_A2020_053. It matches the Rfam family "tRNA". From Rfam's summary of the family: Transfer RNA (tRNA) molecules are approximately 80 nucleotides in length. Their secondary structure includes four short double-helical elements and three loops (D, anti-codon, and T loops). Further hydrogen bonds mediate the characteristic L-shaped molecular structure. tRNAs have two regions of fundamental functional importance: the anti-codon, which is responsible for specific mRNA codon recognition, and the 3' end, to which the tRNAs corresponding amino acid is attached (by aminoacyl-tRNA synthetases). tRNAs cope with the degeneracy of the genetic code in two manners: having more than one tRNA (with a specific anti-codon) for a particular amino acid; and 'wobble' base-pairing, i.e. permitting non-standard base-pairing at the 3rd anti-codon position. Lineage: Bacteria; Bacillati; Cyanobacteriota; Cyanophyceae; Chroococcales; Geminocystaceae. The record is from Rfam by way of RNAcentral.
GCCGCCUUAGCUCAAUUGGCAGAGCGCGUGAUUUGUAAUCUCGAGGUUGUCGGUUCAAGUCCGAUAGGCGGCU